ACAUUAAGUCUACAUUUGAUUUAUAUUGAACUGAUAGUCAGAAACUGUAGCAAGUUUUCAGCUCCAAAGGCUGUUCAGUACUUCCUGUGCUGCUUCACUGGUGAUGAGCUAAGCUAUUGUGGCCAUGGCUGCAGAAUUAAGACACAGACAGUGUUGAGAUUACUAUGAUUUCUGUAACUGGAAUAAUAAUUUGCCUGCCCAUAGCAAGGUUUCCUCAACAGUAGUUCAGCUGUACCUCA
Pezoporus flaviventris is the source of this 239-nucleotide long non-coding RNA. RefSeq lists it as uncharacterized. The record is from RefSeq and is a predicted model, not a curated record. The transcript is spliced from 3 exons. Lineage: Eukaryota; Metazoa; Chordata; Aves; Psittaciformes; Psittacidae.